This 499-nucleotide ribosomal RNA is filed under the name uncultured Haliea sp. Its description in RNAcentral is "bacterial SSU rRNA". It matches the Rfam family "Bacterial small subunit ribosomal RNA", at positions 78 to 573 of the family's 1533-position model. The record is from RNAcentral. Lineage: Bacteria; Pseudomonadati; Pseudomonadota; Gammaproteobacteria; Cellvibrionales; Halieaceae.
CUUUCGGGCUGAGUAGAGCGGCGGACGGGUGAGUAACGCGUAGGAAUCUACCUGGUAGUGGGGGACAACUUGGGGAAACUCAAGCUAAUACCGCAUACGCCCUAAGGGGGAAAGCGGGGGACCUUCGGGCCUCGCGCUAUCGGAUGAGCCUGCGUAGGAUUAGCUAGUUGGUGGGGUAAAGGCCCACCAAGGCGACGAUCCUUAGCUGGUCUGAGAGGAUGAUCAGCCACACUGGAACUGAGACACGGUCCAGACUCCUACGGGAGGCAGCAGUGGGGAAUAUUGCGCAAUGGGCGAAAGCCUGACGCAGCCAUGCCGCGUGUGUGAAGAAGGCCUUAGGGUUGUAAAGCACUUUCAAUUGGGAAGAAAAGUUUGUCGUUAAUAGCGCCAAGCUCUGACAUUACCUUUAGAAGAAGCACCGGCUAACUCCGUGCCAGCAGCCGCGGUAAUACGGAGGGUGCGAGCGUUAAUCGGAAUUACUGGGCGUAAAGCGCGCGUA